AGUGGCGCACGGGUGCGUAACGCGUGGGAAUCUGCCCUUAGGUACGGAAUAACUCAGGGAAACUUGUGCUAAUACCGUACGAUGUCGAGAGACCAAAGAUUUAUCGCCUAGGGAUGAGCCUGCGUAGGAUUAGCUAGUUGGUGGGGUAAAGGCCUACCAAGGCUACGAUCCUUAGCUGGUCUGAGAGGAUGAUCAGCCACACUGGGACUGAGACACGGCCCAGACUCCUACGGGAGGCAGCAGUGGGGAAUAUUGGACAAUGGGCGAAAGCCUGAUCCAGCAAUGCCGCGUGAGUGAAGAAGGCCUUCGGGUUGUAAAGCUCUUUUACCCGGGAAGAUAAUGACUGUACCGGGAGAAUAAGCCCCGGCUAACUCCGUGCCAGCAGCCGCGGUAAUACGGAGGGGGCUAGCGUUGUUCGGAAUUACUGGGCGUAAAGCGUACGUAGGCGGCUUUUUAAGUCAGAGGUGAAAGCCCACGACUCAAUCGUGGAACUGCCUUUGAGACUGGAUCGCUUGAAGAUGGGAGAGGUUAGUGGAAUUCCGAGUGUAGAGGUGAAAUUCGUAGAUAUUCGGAAGAACACCAGUGGCGAAGCGGCUAACUGGACCAUUCUUGACGCUGAGGUACGAAAGCGUGGGGAGCAAACAGGAUUAGAAUACCUGUAGUCCACGUCGA
This 672-nucleotide ribosomal RNA is filed under the name uncultured bacterium. Its description in RNAcentral is "bacterial SSU rRNA". It matches the Rfam family "Bacterial small subunit ribosomal RNA", at positions 94 to 803 of the family's 1533-position model. The record is from RNAcentral.